GACGAACGCUGGCGGCGUGCUUAACACAUGCAAGUCGAACGGAAAGGCCCUGCUUUUGUGGGGUGCUCGAGUGGCGAACGGGUGAGUAACACGUGAGAAACCUGCCCUUGACUUUGGGAUAACUUCAGGAAACUGGGGCUAAUACCGGAUAGGAGCUCCUGCUGCAUGGUGGGGGUUGGAAAGUUUCGGCGGUUGGGGAUGGACUCGCGGCUUAUCAGCUUGUUGGUGGGGUAGUGGCUUACCAAGGCUUUGACGGGUAGCCGGCCUGAGAGGGUGACCGGCCACAUUGGGACUGAGAUACGGCCCAGACUCCUACGGGAGGCAGCAGUGGGGAAUAUUGCACAAUGGGCGGAAGCCUGAUGCGGCAACGCCGCGUGCGGGAUGACGGCCUUCGGGUUGUAAACCGCUUUCGCCUGUGACGAAGCGUGAGUGACGGUAAUGGGUAAAGAAGCACCGGCUAACUACGUG
This 468-nucleotide ribosomal RNA is filed under the name uncultured bacterium. Its description in RNAcentral is "partial 16S ribosomal RNA". It matches the Rfam family "Bacterial small subunit ribosomal RNA", at positions 28 to 507 of the family's 1533-position model. The record is from RNAcentral.